CUGUCUACCACCGUCUGGCCUGGUUCUUUCUAUCUGCUAUACCUCAGUGAGCACGACUAAACUGAGCUUCAGCAGCAAUGUCAGGGCAGCGAGUGUGUGUGUCCGACUUUGAGGUGGAAGCCAGAAAGGUUCUUCCUAAAGCUGUCUAUGACUACUACAGUUCUGGAGCAGAGGAGCAGAUCACACUGGCUGACAAUGUGGCGGCCUUCAAAAGGUGGCGCCUGAUCCCUCGGGUGUUGAGGGACGUUUCCAGUGUGGAUCUGAGUUUGUCGGUGUUGGGCCACAAGCUCAACAUGCCCCUGUGUGUUGCAGCCACCGCUAUGCAGAGGAUGGCUCAUCCAGACGGCGAGACAGCCACUGCAAGAGCGUGCCAAGCGGUGGGGACGGGGAUGAUGCUGAGCUCAUGGGCCACCUCCACAAUCGAGGAAGUGAUGUCAGCCAUGACCACUUCGCCAGGCGUGGGUGGUGUGCUGUGGCUGCAGCUUUACAUCUACAAGGACAGAGAACUCACGCUCUCGUUGGUCCGCCGAGCAGAGGAGGCGGGUUACAAGGCCAUCUUCGUCACCGUGGAUACGCCGUACCUGGGGAGGAGGCUGGAGGACAUGAGGAACUGCUUUAAACUGCCCCCACAUCUGAGAUUGUCAAACUUCUCAACAGACUCCUUAGCUUUCUCAGAAGGAGACUAUGGCAGUGAUAGCGGCUUGGCUGUUUAUGUAGCAAAAGCCAUCGAUCCCUCCCUCUGCUGGGAUGACAUUACCUGGCUGAAGAAAAACACACACUUGCCUGUGAUUGUGAAAGGAGUGCUAACUGGGGAGGAUGCUGCCAGGGCUGUGAACUAUGGUGUUGAUGGCAUAUUGGUUUCCAAUCAUGGAGCUCGACAGCUGGAUGGGGUUCCUGCCACGCUUGACGUGUUGGAAGAGGUUGUGGGGGCGGUAAAAGGUAGAUGCGAUGUCUACCUGGAUGGUGGAGUGAGACGAGGGACCGACGUCCUGAAGGCGCUCGCCUUGGGAGCGAAGGCCGUCUUCAUUGGUCGGCCUGUGCUGUGGGGUCUCUCCUGUCAGGGGGAACAAGGUGUUAUUGCAGUUCUGCAACUUCUUAAAGAUGAGCUGAAACUAGCGAUGGGCUUAGCAGGUUGUCGCUCCCUAUCGGAGGUGAGCAGAUCCUUGGUGAGAAGAGUAGAGGUCACCUCAAGAAUUUAACACCAUGGCUGCAUAACUGCUCUGUUGAUUUUGAAAUAUAGUCGAGUCAUUGCUGAGGGGAUGGCCGAAUGCUGAUACCAACCUAAUUUGAAGGUAUUGGUAGUACAACAAACUACUUAGCGGAUUCCUACCACGCCAUUGACAGAUAGCAGCUGGUCUCCUCUCUUCAGGCCCCCCUGACGAUCAGCCACCCCGGCGGGUAUCACUCUGGAGAUGUAGAUGGGGGAGUUCUGCUCUUUGCCCCCCAUGAUAUUGAAACCCAAACCCUCGUCUGUCUUGGGCAGCUCCACCACCCGUGGAUGAGCGUGGCCCUCGCUGGCAGCAAACGCUGCCACGGUGGCCUAGUCAGGAUGAAAAUGAUAUUGUUAAAAAAUGCUCAAAUAAAGCUCGACUCGUGCAUUGUAAAA
This is an RNA transcript of Syngnathus acus (greater pipefish), 1606 nucleotides long. It is a transcript of the gene named hydroxyacid oxidase (glycolate oxidase) 1, with no coding region annotated. The record is from RefSeq and is a predicted model, not a curated record. Lineage: Eukaryota; Metazoa; Chordata; Actinopteri; Syngnathiformes; Syngnathidae. The transcript is spliced from 9 exons.